GACGAACGCUGGCGGCGUGCUUAACACAUGCAAGUCGAGCGGUAAGGCCCUUUCGGGGGUACACGAGCGGCGAACGGGUGAGUAACACGUGGGUGACCUGCCUUUAGCUCUGGGAUAAGCCUGGGAAACUGGGUCUAAUACCGGAUAUGACUCCGCGGUGCAUGCUGUGGGGUGGAAAGCCUUGUGCGGCUGGAGAUGGGCCCGCGGCCUAUCAGCUUGUUGGUGGGGUGAGGCCUACCAAGGCGACGACGGGUAGCCGGCCUGAGAGGCGACCGGCCACACUGGGACUGAGACACGGCCCAGACUCCUACGGGAGGCAGCAGUGGGGAAUCUUGCGCAAUGGGCGAAAGCCUGACGCAGCGACGCCGCGUGA
Molecule: ribosomal RNA, 373 nt
Filed under: uncultured bacterium
Lineage: Bacteria
Description: bacterial SSU rRNA
Rfam family: Bacterial small subunit ribosomal RNA
Source: RNAcentral